RNAcentral lists this ribosomal RNA (294 nucleotides) under uncultured bacterium. RNAcentral's name for it is "partial 16S ribosomal RNA". It matches the Rfam family "Bacterial small subunit ribosomal RNA", at positions 775 to 1066 of the family's 1533-position model. The record is from RNAcentral.
GGAUUAGAUACCCUGGUAGUCCACGCCCUAAACGAUGAGUAUUAGGUAUUGGGAGUUUAGCUUUCAGUAUCGUAGCUAACGCGUUAAAUACUCCGCCUGAGGAUUACGGUCGCAAGAUUAAAACUCAAAGGAAUUGACGGGGACUCGCACAAGCGGUGGAGCAUGUGGUUUAAUUCGAUGUCACGCGAAAAACCUUACCACACUUUGACAUGUGAAUCGUAUCUCUGCGAAGGUAGAGAGUCAGGUUAAGCUGGAUUCAACACAGGUGUUGCAUGGCUGUCGUCAGCUCGUGCC